RNAcentral lists this long non-coding RNA (459 nucleotides) under Vombatus ursinus (common wombat). RNAcentral's name for it is "lncRNA (ENSVURG00010013239.1)". The record is from RNAcentral. Lineage: Eukaryota; Metazoa; Chordata; Mammalia; Diprotodontia; Vombatidae.
AGCCUGAAAGUGCUGGCUUCCUGGCUGGUUGCUUAGAGAAAAGUCAAGUAGACCAAGUUUGACUGCACAAGCAAAUUCCCCAAAAUGAUUGCAACUUCAGGUCUAUAAAGAGAACAUUAACAAGGGACAAAGGAGGGUAUGAGCUCUAAGCAAGCAAGCAAAGAAGGUCCUCACCCAGAGAGCCCGACUUCCCUAGUAGGGAAAGGAGAGCUGCGGGGAGAAAGGAAUGGAAGUCACACCAAAUAUGAAGGAGGUCCUUCUGUUUCUCCUGUUACUUCACACACAGCUUUCAAGUGCUUUUCCUGUAUCUCCUAAAAGCCUCGAGGAGGAAAAAAUGGCAACUGUUCAGGAUUUCCUGUCUUCUCCCACAACCCUCCUUCCCACACCCACAUAUUCAUGGAAGGGUAGUAUGAUAUACUGGAAGCCAGGAGACCUGGAUCUGAGUUGUGAUUCCCUUAU